UACGUAGGUGUCAAGCGUUGUCCGGAAUUACUGGGCGUAAAGCGCGUGUAGGCGGCUCGGCAAGUCGGAUGUGAAAGCCCUGGGCUCAACCCAGGAAGUGCACUCGAAACUGCCGAGCUGGAGUCCCGGAGAGGAAGGCGGAAUUCUCGGUGUAGAGGUGAAAUUCGUAGAUAUCGAGAGGAACACCUGUGGCGAAGGCGGCCUUCUGGACGGCGACUGACGCUGAGACGCGAAAGCGUGGGGAGCAAACAGG
This 253-nucleotide ribosomal RNA is filed under the name uncultured bacterium. Its description in RNAcentral is "partial 16S ribosomal RNA". It matches the Rfam family "Bacterial small subunit ribosomal RNA", at positions 524 to 776 of the family's 1533-position model. The record is from RNAcentral.